GGGUGAGUAAUGCCUAGGAAUCUGCCUGGUAGUGGGGGACAACGUUUCGAAAGGAACGCUAAUACCGCAUACGUCCUACGGGAGAAAGCAGGGGAUUCGGGCCUUGCGCUAUCAGAUGAGCCUAGGUCGGAUUAGCUAGUUGGUGAGGUAAUGGCUCACCAAGGCGACGAUCCGUAACUGGUCUGAGAGGAUGAUCAGUCACACUGGAACUGAGACACGGUCCAG
RNAcentral lists this ribosomal RNA (225 nucleotides) under uncultured Pseudomonadales bacterium. RNAcentral describes it as "partial 16S ribosomal RNA". It matches the Rfam family "Bacterial small subunit ribosomal RNA", at positions 104 to 334 of the family's 1533-position model. Lineage: Bacteria; Pseudomonadati; Pseudomonadota; Gammaproteobacteria; Pseudomonadales. The record is from RNAcentral.